RNAcentral lists this ribosomal RNA (476 nucleotides) under uncultured bacterium. RNAcentral describes it as "bacterial SSU rRNA". It matches the Rfam family "Bacterial small subunit ribosomal RNA", at positions 335 to 799 of the family's 1533-position model. The record is from RNAcentral.
ACUCCUACGGGAGGCAUCAGUGGGGAAUAUUGGACAAUGGGCGAAAGCCUGAUCCAGCCAUGCCGCGUGUGUGAAGAAGGUCUUCGGAUUGUAAAGCACUUUCAGUCGUGAGGAAGGUAGUGUAGUUAAUAGCUGCAUUAUUUGACGUUAGCGACAGAAGAAGCACCGGCUAACUCCGUGCCAGCAGCCGCGGUAAUACGGAGGGGUGCGAGCGUUAAUCGGAAUUACUGGGGCGUAAAGCGCAUGCAGGUGGUUUUGUUAAGUCAGAUGUGAAAGCCCGGGGGCUCAACCUCGGAAUAGCAUUUGAAACUGGCAGACUAGAGUACUGUAGAGGGGGUAGAAUUUCAGGUGUAGCGGUGAAAUGCGUAGAGAUCUGAAGGAAUACCGGUGGCGAAGGCGGCCCCCUGGACAGAUACUGACACUCAGAUGCGAAAGCGUGGGGAGCAAACAGGAUUAGAUACCCUGGUAGGAUAGCG